Molecule: long non-coding RNA, 9152 nt
Organism: Cuculus canorus (common cuckoo)
Lineage: Eukaryota; Metazoa; Chordata; Aves; Cuculiformes; Cuculidae
Exons: 3
Source: RefSeq, a predicted model, not a curated record
AGGGUGAGUCUCACCAUGAAGAAAUAGCUCUGCCUGGGAGAAAGGGAUCUUUGAAGAAAAGGCUGAAAUCAAAUAGCAGAAACUCUGCAGCUGCAGUGACGUUACCUGCACGCCAUGCGUAAGGAGGCAAGUGCAUAUAAACCCGUUGGGAGAUGCCCAGCAAAAUGGCACAGAAACUAAAGCUGUGGGGAUAACUCCCAUGGAAUUCAGACUACUGGCCCCUUCCACGAGCCUGUGAGAUCUACCGAUUGAAAGCUCUCUCUAACAGAAGCUGGGGCUCAUGCUACAACGGUGCCAAGCUGAGGAUGCACCAAAACGGAGAGAAGCAGACUUGAGACACGCAAACUCAAUCCAUUUGUGACUUUUCUGUAGCAAACUCCUUUUCCCUAGGGCUGCAAGACAAAUGGUUUAAUAACCCAGAAUGCUGUGCUCUUUGCUUCAGCAAAGUUGACUCUCUGCAUUCAGCCUUAUUCACAGGUAUCUCCAACAACCUUCUGGGAAAAUGCUGAACAAACUGAGAUCACGGCUUGGAGGCCUGGGGCUGGCCUUGCAUUGUUUGCUUUUUAUUGUAAGGCUUAUCUUUCUGUGUCAUAUGGUUAGAAACUGGAGCCUUGCCUCCAAGAUAGCAGUGGCGAGGCAAGAAAAGCUUGUGCGCAUUUGUCUUCGGGGCAGUUAUAUAAAUGAGCGUACUGAUGCAGUCCUCAACAAAAAUGCAAGGGAGAAACUAUGAGUGAGAGAGAGCAAGUCCUAACUUCUUUCUCGUCAUGUGUUUUUCUGGAAAUGAAAAAUGUGAACACUGCUUUCAUGCUCUUUCACCAGAGAACUGGCUGCCUUCCAGUAAUUGUGUGAAGUGCUGGACUGGGUCCUUCCACUCUGAGACAACAAGCAUGGCCAGAGCUAACCCAGCAGGAGGUACAUUUGGAAUAUGAAACCCUGUCUUGUACUCAGUCCCCAUCCACCUCAGGAUCUUGAGGUGUCCUAGCAGUGUCAGGGACUGUAAAUGAAGCCUAUUAGAGGUAUCAAAACAUAAUCAAGUGACUAAGAAUGAGCAGUUCAGUAGAAAGAAGGUACCACAGCCCACGGAGUGUGAUGUCCAAGUGGACUGGCAAACGAGAGGUUUUUGAAAUCAAGCUGGACUCCGAGUGCUCACUCACCACUUAGCAUUAAUUCUUUUUGUGUUUCCUGAUACUAUCUCCCAGGAGCUGAUUCACUGAUGUACAGCUACUGCUUCAAGACCUGUUUAGGACAAGACAGGAAGUCCAUCCUGCAACUCCGCUUGAAGGUUUACAGAGAAACAGUGGUUUGAUGUUCAUCACAGUGCUUUAUUGUGAAGCAUGGUAAUAGCUGUGCCUUCUUCAGCAAAGGAAGGAUUGCUUUUACCCAGUUUUAGCCAUGCAGAAGUUUAAGGUGUCUAAGCCAAUGAUCCAGCCCUCCUCUACAGACUGUGAAGAGAAACGAAGGCAUCUCCAGAGAAUGAGUCACUUUUUCCUAUGCGCAGUGUCUACAGUGGGUGGGAUGACUCAUCCUCCAAAGGUAACAGUCUCUCCUUCUGUGGCUUAACUGACUAGUUUCAACUGGAAGUCUAACUUUUUGGUGGCAGAAAUAAACCAUCUUCACUGUUACCUGUAUUUGUCUGAAGUUAUUUUUCAAAACUCAGAUGAAGGUGAGAUGACUUACUUCUCAGUAAAUGGCUCCUUCCAAGGGCCAUUUAUGUGCUUUCUCUUGGAUUAUGCACAUCUUUGUCCUUAAAAAAUUGAGAAGAAAUAUUUUGCUCAAGUUUCAUGGAGCCAGAAAAACUAAAGCCUGAUGGAAACAUAAAGAGAAUCUCUUGACCCAUCCUGACCCACCCCUAACCCACAGGCCAAAAUCUGUAGUUAAGCUUUGUUACCCUAAAUGUUUCCUCCUUUCAACAAUAUCUUCCACAGUAAGUAAGAAAAUUUCAGUUGUCUUCAACGGGCUUUCGUCCAAGCUUGAGGAGAGAGCAAUAGAGGAAAUUCAGUUGCAGGAGCAAAUCAACAGAGGGGAAAGGUAAGAACACGAGAGACCUGAAAGACAUAAUCAUGAGAGCCAGGAGGAAGAGGGAAACAAAGAGAUGCUUUAAAGAUUGAGCAGUGGAGGAACACAGAGGCUAUGCUCAGUGGAGAGAAGAUCUGUGCAGAGGCAGACGGACGAGCACAUACCCUUGAAAUACACAUCUCUCCAGCACUGCAGCAUCACUUCCAUUUGAAAAUGCCUAACUGCUCUUCAGCUUAAUCAUUGCUGCACUUUUGGGUAUAAGAUGAAUAAUUAAGCCUGGGAGUAGAAUACAGCAAGUGUUAAUAGGGCAGAAGGUACUGCAAAGUCCUUAUAAAAAGCUGUGCUUGCAGCACAAAGUGGCUGCUGUUCUCUGCAUCCCCAAUCAUGAAGUGACGAGCAUGAAAGUACUAAAUUUAAUGAAGUGCAUCUGUAUUCAUUCUGCUGGACUUUUUUCCCCCUGCUUGCUAAAUAAUACCCAGUCUCUAGCAAAGGAUGAACAAUGUAAUUCUAAAUUGUCCUUCCAAAUCAAACCAGGACAGAUAUCCUGCACAGCCCUUCCUUCUGUGUCUAUACCUAUGGACUCCCACAAGCACAGUCUUCUCCCUUGCGUAAGUUAGUGUUUAAAGAAAAUAUCUGGUGCCUUAAAGAGGCAGUUUAGUCUGAAGAGGCAGUGUUAUGCAGUUCAACCUCUUUGAUGAGUUCAAAAUUGCUUUCUGUUGCUGUCAGAACACACACAAAAAAGAAGAAAUAAAUGCUCACUCCAGACUGAGAGACAACAAUUAACCAAUGUUGAAGAAGACUCUGGGCUGGAUACGCUGCCGAAGCAUCCUGAGGUGCUGGCUCAUGCAUACAGCAAGAGAAAGCACUGCAAGGAAAAGCUGUAAGUGGAAUAAGAUGCAGCUGUUAAUCCACGUACAAUGCAAGUUCUUAUGGUUUGCUGCUCUGUCUACUCUUUUCCCCCCAAUCUGAUGAGUCAGUCUUUCCCUGAACACAGUUAUUCCUCAGCCUGUGGACCACAAGGCUAAUCAAGCAGUAGCUCAAAAGAGAGCAGUUAAUAUUUGAAUCGCCCAAAAGAUAUUCAGGGACAGUGUGUGAGGAGUGUUCAUUCCUGUGAUAGAUCAGACUGAUGUCACACUAAACAGCAAAUGCAAAGCUCCCUUUUUAGGUUUUCAUUUUCUGCAUGCAUCCAAUUAAACAGCUAUUUAACUUAAUCAAAUUACAUGGGGAACGAAGAAAGAAAGAUUGUUAUUUUUUUAAAUACUUGGGAGAUGUUUGGGAAUGGGAGGUCAUAAAGGUAAAGAGGGAGGUCAAUAAAUAGAAAGGAGGAAAUUAUUUUUAACCAUUGUAGAUAAGGUAUUUUUAGAGCAAUCACCUGAAAGCUCCCUGAACUACAUAGAAUGAUAAGCAACUGCUCAACACAGCAGCAGUAAUGGGAGAUGAGCUGCAGCCUGGCCCAGACCAACGCUCCUUGCUUCUUUCAAGUGGAUUUUGAGUGUAAUGAUUAUUUUUUUCCGCCCUUUUCCUUUUUCUUCCACCUCCUGUUCUUACUGUUAUCAAUGAAUGUGCCUCAGAGGGUCUGCCUCUCAUAUGGGCAUUUGAGGAGGUUUUCUGUUGCUGUUUAGUGGGUAUUUUCCCCCUUCUUUGGUUUGUUUUUCAUCUUUUUCUUUUUGCCUGGUCUCCUCUCACCUCUGCACUCAGUGAAAGAAUGAAGAGCCAAGCCUCCACAGGCAACCAUGUGUGAGAAGAAACAAGAGGAUGACUUCCAGAAGGGCUGGAGGACCCUGGGGCCAGAGGGAUCCACCUCUGGCUGAAACACCAUUCAGAGAGGCCACACACAGGGCAGGAAUCGGGAGCAUUGCCCCCAUCCACCAGAGUCUUAAGCAACAAAGCUCCAUAUAAUGUGUACGAUGUGAAUUUAAAACAGACGUUUUCAGAGGUAAGGGAAGAUGCCUGAGUGCCUUCCUCAAUCUGAAGUAUUUUUUUUCCCUCCCAGAUGCCAGGCUGUUGAAUGUGUCAAUAUGCUGCCACAGUUUGGAGAGCGCAACAGUUUUGGAGCCACCCUCCUAUCUGCUAUCUUAAGCUGAUCGUCUUACUGUGUCUUCCUGGCCACUCCGUUGAAAAUGAUGGUGUCUCUUCCUUCAUGGUUUUCUAGAGGAAGCAUAAUAAGAAGGGAUUUUUCUUUCAUUCAAGGAUCAAAGCAAAACAUCGAAGAUGGCAAAUGAUAAAUAUUUGACUUUGAAACAUGAAAAAGAAAGGAAGAUCAACAUCAAGGGAAUAAAUCUCUCAGGAUGUCCUGCAGUCUGAAUGUACAUUUUGUUUUGCUAAGACAGGAGUUGUGGAUGCACUGUGUAAAGAUGUGGGUUUUACAAGAAAACAGAAUCAGCCAGGAGACCUCUGGGAAAUCACAGAAUGUGUGUACGCUUUAUGGUUUGUAUAACAUUAAAAAAUGUUUUUUUCUUCGAGAUAUUGAUCCUUGUUCCAUUAUUAUUAUUAUUUAUUUAUUUUCACUCAUUUCAUUUUUCAUAUCUCUGUAUUUCAGGUUCCUUGUUUGAAUUGGUCCUAUUUAUGUGAAACAGGUUGAUAACUCUCAUCUCUUCUCUCUUAUGCUCUCAGUAAUUACAGGUCUCCAAGGAAAGCUGGCCUUCUGUAGAAAUUUUGUAAAGGUUUUGAAAGAUUCUAUUAGAAAAGAUUUGGAUCCUGCACAAUUAUCAGUUCUGAAAGGUGCUUUGCCCACCUCCUCCAGUGGAAGUGUUAUUGAUCAUCUCACAAAAGGAAGGCAUGUACUUACAGAGAGAAGAGUUGAGGUCUGGUUGCCUUUUCAACAUCAAUGAUAAAAUUGCAUCUAAUGUUCACCUCAUUCACCUCAACUCCACUGGUCUGCACUAAUUAAGGUGGAGCAAGCCGUGCUAGUUAAUAAAGAACACCGUAAUUCAGCUUGUGCUGGCCAGUGAUUGCAACGAGAGGAAAAACCCAAUAAGCAAUUCAAAAGACAGGCUUUGAUUAACAGAACUAUCUGGGGCUUUUGUUCACUGGUUGUACAGCACACACUGUAAAACCCAGCCACUAUCAAUGCCUUAGAUGUAAGAUUGAAAACACCUUCUCUCCCUUUUAAGAUGGGCUCUGCCUUCUAAAGUUCUUUAAAAUAUUGCAGAUGAUCAUCAGAAUUCUGCCUUCUAGGUUUGUAAAAUCACCUUUUUACUUGGCCACACACGCCACUGUCUUGCUCCAAGGUCCUAUACCCAAGAUGAUCACAUUCCACAUGACAGCUGACUCCUUUUGGAGCAAUCACUUUGUUCUCUCUCAGUUAAACACUAGUAUAGUUAUAGAUUUUUUUUCUUCCUAGGCCUAUUUUUUAUAUCCCUAUGUACACCAAGUUUGGUUCCCUCUGUCUAAGACAGUUCUUUGCCACUAUCAGAACAGACUUUUCUUCCUUGCAUCUCUACCAGCAAUCCUCAAGACAUGUCCUGCAAUAAGUAGCACAUCUUCUGUGCCACGCUAGCAGGGCUGCAACACAACUCCUUUGUUACUUCCACCACUUCUAGGAGAAAACCUAUACACACAAAAUAAUAUUCCAAAGCAGCUGGAAGCCAUACAAGGGCGAGACCCAAUCUUGGUACUGUGUUAUGUCUUGCCAUCGUGGCUGAUUCCCUCUAAGGAGUGUUAGGACACCAACUUUUGAAGAAUGGUUGGAAUAUCAUGGUGGGAAUUGUAAGCACAUAGAGCAAACUUACAGGUUUUUCACCCCCAACCCUGUCUGGCUCAGCACAUUACAGCUGUGUAGACAGGAGGCAGAGUAAUUAAGGAUCAUCCCUUCCUCCAAGGCCCCCCAAGAGCAGUAAGAAAGGUCUACAUAUACUCAGCAAAGCCAAAUUUUCACACCCCAUUAGUCCAGAUGAGAUGAACUUCACUUCUCGUAACCAGCUUUGCUGUUAGAGCUGACUAAAUUUUCCCCCCCAGACGAAUAGUUUUCUCUUCCAGAAAUGCAGAUUCAGCAAAAUAUAAUUUUUGUUGACAUUUUUAAUGGGAAAUUAUUGAAACAUUUCAAUUUUUUUUAGCAUUUGGCCAGUUCUGUCUCAUCUGGAAUGAAGUAAUCGAAACUCAGCAGAGAAACGCUCGCCUUUUUCGAUUUGCAAGAUUUUCCCUUCAAGAAGACUGUCCUGAGAUUCCAGAGCUGAAAUGUGAUGGGAUGUUUCUUUUAACUCUAAACUUUGAGAACAGCACUUUUAAUUUCACUUUAGAAUUUUUCCUCCUCAGAAUGAAAAUAUUGUUCCAGAAUGCUGCAUUUCUAGGGAGGGAAGGUGUCUUGUACCAGCUGAAUCAUAGAAAGGAUGAUUUGACUCAAGCUUUUUAACAAAUUAACAGUUGCCUCAACAGGACUCCCUCUUAUGCAGUCAAGGCAGAGCAGAGAGGAGUUGGUACAGGGAGCCCUGCGUGGUUUAGGCUUUUUAUAGUGUCAGAUUUCUUCACAUAAUGUAUUUUGGGUGAAGCCGUAGGUUUAUUUUGUACUUAUCUGAUGUCAGAAAAGUCUAUAUUAAGUCUUAAAAAAAGGGGCGGGGGGAGGCUUUUUAAUCAGCUUAUUACAACCUUCCGCGUAUAAUAAAGCACUUAUAUGGCAGCAAACCUGAAAUCCUACAGGAGUUUGUUGUAAAGUGACAGAUUCAGGUCAGAGCUGUUAAUGAACCGCCAGAUUGAUGUGUGAUGCAUAAUGAUGGGAGAAAUGGCAUUAUUGUUUUACAGGGGAGUGCAGAGAGGCAGAAUAUGCCAGGUCCAUUGGAACAACUGGAUACCCUGGAGUUUAAUGCUUUGCCUCUGGCCAACACCUGAUAUUUCAGAGAAAUUAGAGAUAUUCCACAACUGGUGAAUAAAGUAGCUACACAGUAGAUGAGGAUUAGGCUUCUCAACUACCUUCGCCCUGGUAGCAAACCCUGAAUUUCCCAGUCGACUCUUGAUUCUGUAAGUACAGAACACUGACAUGGGCAGAGUAUGACCAGAGCAGUGCUGCAAGAGAUUCAUUUCUUCUCUUUCUUUGCUUCUGCCACCGAGUAACUAUGUGACCAUAGGCAACUCUUUCAACGUCUACUUCUGGCUUCUUUCUUGUUUUAAACAAAUACUUUUUGAAGCACAAGUUUCACAUGUCCAUGUUAUCCAAUUGGCUCUUAUUCUAUUUCUUGUUCUAAAUUAGUUAGUCUUUAUUGUCAUUAACUGGAUCCUAUAAUAAAUGCAAAAGCAAUGCUGACCUGAGGGAAAUGCUGCUCAUACUAUAAAGAAUAUAAGAGGUUAAAAAAACACUUUGCAAAUGGAAUAUGCAGAGUGGCAAAAGCAAUGGUUCUUGUUCAACAUUUCCUGGUAAGAGAGGGCAGCAAAAAAACACCCUAAAACCAGAUAAAGGACUGGUCCACCUUUAUUGGACCAUCCCUUGAAAGCUCACUGGGAACUUUAGCUGGUGCCACAUGCAUCUUCCUCUUAAUUAGCACUUUUCCAAGGAGAUUCUUAAAAUCAGAUCUCCCUUUUAUUAUGUUUCAGUAAAAUGCCAGUGACUCUGGGGUCUUGGUGCAUGACUGAGGUCCCCUAGUGCUACAUUAGAGAUAUUAAUUCUCAUUAAGAAAUGAUGCAACCGAUAUUCACUUUGAGCAUGCAUUGUGUACUUCACUGGAUGCUCUAGGGCGCAUUGUAAGUGUUCCUGUUCCUCUUGGUCUAAAAGGCUCUGUGUAUGCUCCGUCUCAGCUCUAUAGUCUCAUUGAACCCAACACAGCCCCUGCGAUUAAAAAGGUAAUUCAGGCUAGCAAGUGGUUUUUUGAUCUUGGGACUCCUGGGCCUUUACAGCCCUGAGAUCUGGGAUUCCCUCAGAGCUCAACACACAUUACCAGUUACUGAGAACUCUGAAUUUGAGUCAAAAAUAUAUGGGCAUGAUCUUAACUCAUAUGGUUUUGAACAGUCCCUUUGACUUUCAUGCAUAUGCCCACACGUGCAGACACUCGCUACUGCAAUCCAUUGGGCUCAGCACCUUGCAGGACUGAGCCCUUCACUAAUCCUUCUAAGCACAAGUCUAUUGACUUUCAAAGCAACCCGUGAGGGCUUCUUAUCUAUAUUUCCUGAACGAGCUGCUUGCUUAGGGUGAGCCUUUUCGCAUUAGUCUUCAACCAGAGUUGAUUUUGAGCUAUGAACAUGAUUAGAUUUUUGUAUCAAGAGAGACUGAAAGUACAGAGAUGGUUCCAAGCAUACUACAAUAAAUCAUGAGUGAACUCCCUUCAUCUAAUAGCUUGUAAAAAUACAAGAUAUCAGAAUUAGUGCUUAAAUCCAACCCAACCAAUAUCUGGGUUUUGCUUUCUCAUCCUGGAAUGAAUCUGAAAAAACCCUGAGUCUAAAUGUCUUAGAGAAGUUUGAAAACCAGAUCUCAGUAGUUAGAUGUAUGACAUUUGUAUAAUAUGAUCCUGUCAUCACAUUGCUGAACAAGAUUUGGUCCUAAAUUACACCACAGCCCAACUCGGAGGGAGAUGCCACACGCUGUCAAGAAGCCUGCCCCAGAAAACACACUGAAAUAAGGAUUUUUUUUCAUCUCUAGAAUAUUUAUAUUACAGGGUUCUUUUUGCACCAAAAUCAAGUAAAGGCAUUUAUUUCAGGCUUGACUUAAACAUUUGGGAUGUCAGAAGCCUGAAAUAAAAUCCACAUGAUGAUAGCACAUUAUACAUCUUUCUCAAGGUCACUUACUAAUGCAUAUGAGAAUGGGACACUCAGGCAGCAGGAAACAUAGAUGGAAAUAAAAGCACACCUGGAAUUAUAAUUCCUGCCCUGUUGCCUCUCCUCCUCUUCACACAAUGGUCAGUCUUGACACAGAGACUCAAGACAGACUCUGGUCCCUGUUCUGUGCAGGUUUUGCCAUAGCAAGCUAGUCUCUGUCUGCCAUGGGCUUCCCUUUCCCACCUCUAAAAACGAGGCUAGCCUUGAAAACUGAUCACGUCUAUUUAAAUGACAAGCUUAUAUUAAUUCUUGUAUGCACAGGACCAAAGACAAUGAGACUUGGAUUGCAAUUGAGACCUCAAAGUAUAGAUUAAUAGAUAAAUUAAUAGGUAUCUAUUAGUAAGUUAAAAGAUAACUAAUAUAAAUACAUAAAAACUUAACUAAAGGCAUACCUGUAU